CCUACGGGAGGCAGCAGUGGGGAAUAUUGCACAAUGGGGGAAACCCUGAUGCAGCGACGCCGCGUGAGUGAAGAAGUAUUUCGGUACGUAAAGCUCUAUCAGCAGGGAAGAAAAUGACGGUACCUGACUAAGAAGCCCCGGCUAACUACGUGCCAGCAGCCGCGGUAAUACGUAGGGGGCAAGCGUUAUCCGGAUUUACUGGGUGUAAAGGGAGCGUAGACGGCAGCGCAAGUCUGGAGUGAAAUCCCAUGGCUUAACCAUGGAACUGCUUUGGAAACUGUGCAGGUAGAGUGCAGGAGAGGUAAGCGGAAUUCCUAGUGUAGCGGUGAAAUGCGUAGAUAUUAGGAGGAACACCAGUGGCGAAGGCGGCUUACUGGACUGUAACUGACGUUGAGGCUCGAAAGCGUGGGGAGCAAACAGGAUUAGAUACCCCUGUAGUC
This 440-nucleotide ribosomal RNA is filed under the name uncultured bacterium. RNAcentral describes it as "partial 16S ribosomal RNA". It matches the Rfam family "Bacterial small subunit ribosomal RNA", at positions 338 to 795 of the family's 1533-position model. The record is from RNAcentral.